RNAcentral lists this ribosomal RNA (496 nucleotides) under uncultured bacterium. RNAcentral's name for it is "partial 16S ribosomal RNA". It matches the Rfam family "Bacterial small subunit ribosomal RNA", at positions 28 to 506 of the family's 1533-position model. The record is from RNAcentral.
GAUGAACGCUGGCGGCGUGCCUAAUACAUGCAAGUCGAGCGAACGGACGAGAAGCUUGCUUCUCUGAUGUUAGCGGCGGACGGGUGAGUAACACGUGGAUAACCUACCUAUAAGACUGGGAUAACUUCGGGAAACCGUAGCUAAUACCGGAUAAUAUUUUGAACCGCAUGGUUCAAAAGUGAAAGACGGUCUUGCUGUCACUUAUAGAUGGAUCCGCGCUGCAUUAGCUAGUUGGUAAGGUAACGGCUUACCAAGGCAACGAUGCAUAGCCGACCUGAGAGGGUGAUCGGCCACACUGGAACUGAGACACGGUCCAGACUCCUACGGGAGGCAGCAGUAGGGAAUCUUCCGCAAUGGGCGAAAGCCUGACGGAGCAACGCCGCGUGAGUGAUGAAGGUCUUCGGAUCGUAAAACGCUGUUAUUAGGGAAGAACAUAUGUGUAAGUAACUGUGCACAUCUUGACGGUACCUAAUCAGAAAGCCACGGCUAACUACGU